AGAGUUUGAUCAUGGCUCAGAACGAACGCUGGCGGCAUGGAUUAGGCAUGCAAGUCGAACGAAGUAGCAAUACUUAGUGGCGCAAGGGUGAGGAACGCGUGAGUGACCUACCCGCAAGUUUGGAACAGCUCCUGGAAACGGGAAUUAAUACCGGAUGUGAUCAAUGGACUGCAUGGUUUAUUGAUUAAAGCAGUAAUGCGCUUGCGGAUGGGCUCGCGUCCCAUUAGCUAGUUGGUGAGGUAACGGCCCACCAAGGCCAUGAUGGGUAGCUGGUCUGAGAGGACGACCAGCCACACUGGGACUGAGAACUGCCCAGACUCCUACGGGAGGCUGCAGUCGAGAAUUUUGGGCAAUGGACGAAAGUCUGAACCCCCAGCAAUGCCGCGUGCGGGAUGAAGGUCUUCGGAUUGUAAGCCGCUGUUUGGAGGGACGAAAAUUGACGGUACUUCCAGAGAAAGCCACGGCUAACUACGUGCCAGCCGCGGC
This 486-nucleotide ribosomal RNA is filed under the name uncultured bacterium. Its description in RNAcentral is "bacterial SSU rRNA". It matches the Rfam family "Bacterial small subunit ribosomal RNA", at positions 8 to 518 of the family's 1533-position model. The record is from RNAcentral.